ACUCAAAUGAAUUGACGGGGGCCCGCACAAGCGGUGGAACAUGUGGUUUAAUUCGAUGCAACGCGAAGAACCUUACCUGGGCUUGACAUCUACGGAACCUCUGUGAAAGCAGGGGGUGCCAUUUGGAGCCGUAAGACAGGUGGUGCACGGUUGUCGUCAGCUCGUGUCGUGAGAUGUUGGGUUAAGUCCCGCAACGAGCGCAACCCUCGUGGUCUGUUGUUACAGGUCGUAAGAUGCUGAACCCUCAGGCCAGACUGCCGGUGACAAACCGGAGGAAGGUGGGGAUGACGUCAAAUCAUCACGCCCCUUAUGUCCAGGGCUACACACGUGUUACAAUGGGACGCAGACAAUGGGACGCUUGGCAGCAAUGUCCGGCAAAUCCUCAAACUGCCCCUCAGUUCGGAUCGGAGUCUGCAAUUCGACUCCGUGAAGUCGGAAUCGCUAGUAAACGCAGAUCAGCACGCUGCGUUGAAUACGUUCCCGGGCCUUGUACACACCGCCCGU
RNAcentral lists this ribosomal RNA (504 nucleotides) under uncultured bacterium. Its description in RNAcentral is "partial 16S ribosomal RNA". It matches the Rfam family "Bacterial small subunit ribosomal RNA", at positions 899 to 1397 of the family's 1533-position model. The record is from RNAcentral.